CACCGAAUAGGGUGUUUUGUGUUAGUUUGGGUUAUCCUCGCGAUUCUCCCAAACUUUCUCUCUCUCUAGCUUUCUCUCUCAUCACAACGCUGUAUGCGAUUGAUUGAUUGAUUCUUCACUCUCUCGCUUCGCGGUCUCUAAUUCGCUUGGUGCAGGUCGGGAACCGCUGCUGCUUCUGCCGUUUUCGCGCGUAAUCACUCACCGGAGGAGCGGUUACCGCCGCCGGUUGGAUCGGAUCCCGCCUUGCAUCAACUGAAUCGGAACCCGCCUUGAAGCUUUGCCUCGUUUUCCGCUCAGAUCUCAUCUCCGACUGUUUGAAAAGGAAACCUAAGCUGAGACUUAUGGACUAUUUAGCACUAGCUGAGUCGAACUCGAAGCAAUUGAUAUUGGUUCCAUUGGUUUAUUUGAAAGUUUGAUGCAUAAGAAGAAGAAUGUAUAGUUGCUAGCUUGAUUUCGUUAUUUGUUUCAUGUUGUCAUAUGUCCAGUUGUCUAACAUUUGUGAAGUUAAGAUCUGAUCUUCAGUUCCUAAUAUGAGGUCAAAUAAGGACUUUGAAGGAUUCCAAUCACUUAUCACUGAUCUGAAAGUUUUGAGAUCCAUUUUGUCUAUGUUUCUGGCCAUUUAUGUUGCAUUGAUUGUCUUUUCCUUUAUAGGCAUCUUCUAUAAACAGUCUGCAAAAGUAUUUACCCUGUGUUUAGUUAGUAAUUAUGGGUGCUAAGGGGACAUAUGUCCUGCUAUAUGAUGGGUGUCUUAUUCACAUUGUAGGCUUAGACUUAAUGUAGAACAUUGAUGUUGUUAUUUGGUAGUAUGAGAAUGCUAUUUACCUUGUUAAAAAACACAUAAUUCCUUCCCCCUUAGGCCUUAACACUUGUAUCUCAAAAUAAGUGAUUUUAUCUCUAGGAUUCAAUAAGAUGAGCUACUAAUAUAUUUUCAUACAACUGAUACAAGAAUAGUGCCUUUCUUCUAUUUAUUAGAUGGGCAUACACAAAUUUGAAAUAGCUUAACAUUUAACAGCAUGCCAAUAUGAAAUAAGUGUUCAUUAUAGUUUGUUUUUGCUUAUGAAAGUAAAUAAUAAACUGUUUAUUUGGGUACAAUGAGCUGUCCUUCUUAGGAAAAUCCCAAUUGCAUGAUUGGCUUUAUAUUUGCAAUUUAUUGGCAGUAACAGAGUAAUCAAGUUUAUGAUUUAGGGUUACGUAGAAAAGAAAUAUUUUAAGUUUAUUUCUUUAUCUUCUAUAAGCCCAUGGAUUACCUGCUAAAUUUUUUAUCAUCAUUUGUCUUUAUUUUUAUUUGUGAUAGAAAAAUUUACUUAUGUGGAAACAAAUUGAAUUCAGACAUGCAGAUUUUUAUGACUGACAAAGUUACUUAUGUGGAAACGGUUUUGAAUUCAGACUUGCAGGUUUCCAGAUUAAGAAUUUUAUGCCAGAACCUAUCGUUAUUGUGUCAUCAAUGAUCAAUUGACUUGACAAGCAUGUCGUUUUUAUUAUGAUGAAAUUUGUAACCUCAUCUUGGCCAACAUGUAUUUUAUUUUAUUCUAUGACGAAAUUAGCAACCUCAUCUGAUGGAACCAUUUUGUAAAAUACAUUUAACCUUAGAAGGCUGGGAAGGAAGAGAAUCAUAAUGUCUGUGUCAAACCUUUUCAUCGCAGUGGCCAGGGUAUAUAAUUAUAAUCUAUUGCUGUGUGCUUAUAACUAACCUUUUGCAGGUGUAGUGGCAACCUUGUAAUUAAUUUGCUAGAGAAAUUGUACGCUAUGGUUGGUUAGAAAUCUAUAACUUGGAACUCUUCUUUUGCUUCUUGAUAUGGGAACAGUCCACAAAAAUAGCAAAAGUUCAGAAGAGCAGCAGGUAUGUUGUUAUAUGCAAGGUUCAGGUGUUACGUGGAUUUCAACAUAUGUUGAAGUUGGAUACGAUUGCAUAUUCUGGAAUACUGUGUAAAUUUAGAUUAAGCAAAGGUUUCUUACUUUCUUUUUGUUUUUGACAUAACAAAUGGUUUGUGUUGGGCUUUUGGGCCUAUAGCAUGUUGCUGUUUUUAUAAUAAUAAUUAGCGUGCAAGUUUAGAUUAGCAAGGAUUCAAUUGACCAAAAAAAAAAGAUUAGCAAGGAUUCCUUGACCAAAUAAGAUUUGAUUUAUCGAUUUACUGUUUGGUAACAGUAGAUAUGAUCUGAAGAGUUGGAAUUUGUUUCCUUUUAUCUGAAAGAUGCUUCCAAGAGUCAAAUUCUUCAUGUAAGUUAUUUACUGUAUAUAUGUUGGUUCCUUGUUUUUGACUUUUUUGCUUGCCACCUCUCUUUUGGAUAUGCGUGAGACAUGUGGGGGGUUGGAAGAAUUUAUAUAAUCAGUUAAGUACCCAUGCUUCAUCCCAUAAAAGACUCGUGCUUAUAAAGAUCAAAGACAUAUAGGUAUGGAAGCAUGUUUUUGGAUCCUGUUUGAAUCGUUUAGGAUUUAUUUAAUUUAAAUUAAAACAAUCUCGUAUCAAUUGAUCUACAUGGUUGGUGGUGUACAAAAGCGUGUCGAGGAAACUUACUUGAGGUAGUAUUUUAUUACUAUUUAAGAUGAUCCUGACUUUAAUAGUCAAAUAAAACGACAAAACGAAAAAGCAGUAUGUGUCCGUGACAUCUUUCUUACUAGCAUUUGGUCAAGGUUUUCGGUGGUUCACUUCACACAUGAUAAAAGUGAAACAAGGUGUUUUUUAUAGAAAUUCUUGUGAAAGAAGAACAUGACCUUUUAAUAGGCCUAAUCUUUUAAAAAUAUCUCUCUUGCUAACACCAUUGGUGUCACCUAACAUUCAUCAUCUCUUUUUCGACCCCCAACUACCAACCUUCAUUGCAUUAGACUCCUAAAAUAACGCCUAACUAAAACUUUUCUCCCUUUGCGAUAAAUAAUUUACGUUGAAAUUGAAUCAAUUAUUGCUUUAAAGCAUUAUCUUUUCGGUGACCCUUAAUGUGGACCACUUUUAAAGUGGUCUAAUUUUGACCGUUUUUUUUAACCUACUAUAACAGGUGAACACAUCUUUUUUUAAAAAAAUUUAAUAUAUGACAAAUUUUUAAUGAUAUUUUUUCUUAAAAAAAAUAAUGUGUUGACCUGCUAUACCCGGUCAAAGUAGGUGGUGUAAAAUUACACCACCUAAAAAUGGUGCAUAUUAGGUUCACCCUAUCUUUUCAUGCCUAGCUUGUCAGAUUUUUCAUUACAAAUUGAAUAUUAAUAUGUCAUUCUGACAGUAUCUCAUUAUUCCUCAGCAAUGUGCAAUUUCUUACUAGAUGCCUGGGAAAUUGCAUAACACAACUUUUUGACAUUGAGGGCUGUCAUACUUAUUUUCUACGCGUUUUUUUUCUAAUUUCCGGGGAUGUAAGGUCGUUGUUAAUUAGUCAUGAAUGAUAAAGCACGGAAGUGUAUAUGAUAUUUUACCCUUCUUUUUCUUCAUACUAUUUUCAUUUAUUUUUUCUUUUUAUCUUUUUUUUUCCUGUCACAUUACGUAUUCUGUUGCAGUAGGGGGAGAGCUUCCUGCCGUUUGAACUACAGUUCACAUUUUUAUAGAUGGUAGCUGGAACCCGACAAAGGGAAAGAUGGACUGUGCGGCGGUUAUUCGGGACAGUGGUGACCGUUGGCUAUUAGGCUUGUCAAUGAGUCACAGCCAUGGAAGUGCCUUCCUCGCUGAACUCUUGGUUGUAGAACUGGGCCUCAACCAUGCAAUUGAGCUUGGACACACAGACGUAGUUUGUUUCACCGAUUGCUUACAAGUGGUAUCUGACCUUCAACCUUCCUUUGAUACAGCUGACUACUGGGGUCGUUAAGCCAUUGAUUGUGUGCGAUGCGCCAUGGGAGCUAUACAACACUGCUUGGUUAGGAGCAUUGAGCGGGAGAGAAAUAACACGGCGGACCAACUAGCACGGGAAGCGGCUAGUGAGGGCUCGCAACGACGAGUUUGGAGCAACCCUCCAUCAAUUGUCUAUGCUUCGCUUUAUUUAGAUGCGUCUAAUUAGUUUUGUUCUGCCUUUAAUUUUCCUCCUGUAAACCAAAAAAAAAAAAUCAUUCAUUUAUUGUUGUAUUGAAGGAGUCUCACGCUUGUAGUUAGUGGUGAUAGCUAAAAGAUUAGGCGGCUCAGCCCACAUGGUUUCAAUGAAAAUAAAGAUCAUAAGUAACAUAUCAUUUAUAAAUUAGAUUUCAUAUCAUUUUGUUAGUAGUUUUUA
Molecule: long non-coding RNA, 4179 nt
Organism: Lotus japonicus
Lineage: Eukaryota; Viridiplantae; Streptophyta; Magnoliopsida; Fabales; Fabaceae
Exons: 2
Source: RefSeq, a predicted model, not a curated record